ACGGAAGGCAGCAGUGAGGAAUAUUGGUCAAUGGCCGGAAGGCUGAACCAGCCAAGUAGCGUGAGGGAUGACCGCCCUAUGGGUCGUAAACCUCUUUUGACAGGGAAUAAAGUGAGGCACGUGUGCCUUUUCGCAUGUACCUGUCGAAUAAGCAUCGGCUAACUCCGUGCCAGCAGCCGCGGUAAUACGGAGGAUGCGAGCGUUAUCCGGAUUUAUUGGGUUUAAAGGGAGCGUAGGCGGAAGGUCAAGUCAGCUGUGAAAUGUAGUCGCUCAACGUCUGCACUGCAGUUGAAACUGGCCUCCUUGAGUGCGUAAGAGGCGGGCGGAAUUCGUCGUGUAGCGGUGAAAUGCUUAGAUAUGUCACAGAACCCCGAUUGCGAAGGCAGCUUACCAGCAUACAACUGACGCUGAGGCACGAAAGCGUGGGUAUCAAACAGGAUUAGAUACCCUGGUA
RNAcentral lists this ribosomal RNA (454 nucleotides) under uncultured Prevotellaceae bacterium. RNAcentral's name for it is "bacterial SSU rRNA". It matches the Rfam family "Bacterial small subunit ribosomal RNA", at positions 341 to 792 of the family's 1533-position model. Lineage: Bacteria; Pseudomonadati; Bacteroidota; Bacteroidia; Bacteroidales; Prevotellaceae. The record is from RNAcentral.